AUGAGCCCUGGGGAGGACGCGGCGAGGCCCGGGCGCUUCUUCGGCGUCUAUCUGCUCUACUGCCUGAACCCUCGGCACCGGGGUCGCGUCUACGUGGGGUUCACCGUCAACCCUACUCGUAGAGUCCAGCAGCACAACGGGGGCCGCAAGAAAGGAGGGGCCUGGCGGACCAGCGGGCGCGGGCCCUGGGCGAUGGUGCUUAUCGUGCACGGCUUCCCUUCCGCCGUGGCUGCCCUUCGGUUCGAGUGGGCCUGGCAGCACCCGCAAGCCUCACGCCGCCUGGCUCACGUGGGCCCGCGCCUGCGCAGCGAGGCCGCCUUCGCUUUCCACCUGCGCGUGCUGGCGCACAUGCUGCGCGUGCCGCCUUGGGUGCGCCUCCCGCUCACCGUGCGCUGGCUGCGCGCCGACUUCCGAUGUGACCUCUGCCCACCGCCACCGCCGCACAUGCCGCUGACCUUUGGGCCUCCGCCGCCCCGCGCCGCGGCCCCGAAGCGCCGCGCCGGACCCUUAGCUGACCUGGAGUCCGAGCCUGACCAAGAUGCCGAGGCCUGCUGCGCCCUGUGCGCGCGCUCCUUCCAGGAUGAAGAGGGCCCCCUGUGCUGCCCCCACCCUGGCUGCCGCCUCAGGGCCCACGUGAUCUGCCUUGCAGAGGAGUUCCUGGAGAAGGAGCCAGGGCAGCUUCUGCCCCUAGAGGGUCAAUGCCCUGGCUGUAAGAACUCACUGCUGUGGGGAGACCUGAUCUGGCUGUGCCAGAUGGGCACCGAGGAGGAAGAAGAGAACUUGGAAUUAGAAGAGGAACACUGGACAGACAUGCUGGAGACCUGAUCCUCCGCCCACUGCUUGUUUGUGCCACUCCUAGCCCCUUCAGACCCAGUGAGAGAAAAGCACCUUCUGGGGGCCAUGGUUCUUUUACCAACCAUGAAUGAAUCUCCAUGAAAUCCCUUGGGAAUCAUGAAGCUGGACUCACUCCCAGGGUUAUUAGACUCCGUAUUCUUCCUCCCUUUUCUGCUCCACCCCCGACUCUGUCACGCUGCCCACCCACAUUGCUCUGUACUGGCCUUGCUGUCAGAGGUCAAGAGUAACAGUUUUUAGAAUCCCUGGGCUGCUGGGGGCCUGUGCGCCACCCCCGGCCUGAACCUUUGGCAUCUCCAAGACUGGCCUGUCAGGAAGGACGGCCAGAUCCCAGUGCUAGCUCCAGAGACCUCCCACUUUGGACUUAGAAACGCUUCAGCUCAGAAAGCAGUUCUGUACUCCCCACAACUGCACCCAGUAAGCCACAGCACAAAGGAGCCACAAGGCCAAGAUCCAGAGAG
Felis catus (domestic cat) is the source of this 1313-nucleotide RNA transcript. It is a transcript of the gene named SLX1 homolog A, structure-specific endonuclease subunit, with no coding region annotated. NCBI's taxonomy places the organism in Eukaryota, Metazoa, Chordata, Mammalia, Carnivora, Felidae. The record is from RefSeq and is a predicted model, not a curated record. The transcript has 8 exons.